This 206-nucleotide ribosomal RNA is filed under the name uncultured bacterium. RNAcentral's name for it is "partial 16S ribosomal RNA". It matches the Rfam family "Bacterial small subunit ribosomal RNA", at positions 568 to 774 of the family's 1533-position model. The record is from RNAcentral.
AGCGCAGGCAGGAAACUAAGCGGAUCUUAAAAGUGCGGGGCUCAACCCCGUGAUGGGGUCCGAACUGGUUUUCUUGAGUGCAGGAGAGGAAAGCGGAAUUCCCAGUGUAGCGGUGAAAUGCGUAGAUAUUGGGAAGAACACCAGUGGCGAAGGCGGCUUUCUGGACUGUAACUGACGCUGAGGCUCGAAAGCUAGGGUAGCGAACG